This 447-nucleotide ribosomal RNA is filed under the name uncultured bacterium. Its description in RNAcentral is "partial 16S ribosomal RNA". It matches the Rfam family "Bacterial small subunit ribosomal RNA", at positions 29 to 523 of the family's 1533-position model. The record is from RNAcentral.
AACGAACGCUGGCGGCAGGCUUAACACAUGCAAGUCGAACGCCCCGCAAGGGGAGUGGCAGACGGGUGAGUAACGCGUGGGAAUCUACCCAUCUCUACGGAAUAACUCAGGGAAACUUGUGCUAAUACCGUAUACGCCCUACGGGGGAAAGAUUUAUCGGAGAUGGAUGAGCCCGCGUUGGAUUAGCUAGUUGGUGGGGUAAAGUCCUACCAAGGCGACGAUCCAUAGCUGGUCUGAGAGGAUGAUCAGCCACAUUGGGUCUGCGAUACGGCCCAAACUCCCACGGGAGGCAGCAGUGGUGAAUAUCGAACAAUGGGCGUAAGCCUGAUCCAGCCAUGACGCGUGAGUGAUGAAGGUCUUAGGAUUGUAAAGAUCUUACACCGGUGAAGAUAAUGACGGUAACCGGGGAAGAAGCCCCGGCUAACUUCGUGCCAGCCGCCGCGGUAA